RNAcentral lists this ribosomal RNA (460 nucleotides) under uncultured bacterium. Its description in RNAcentral is "partial 16S ribosomal RNA". It matches the Rfam family "Bacterial small subunit ribosomal RNA", at positions 338 to 795 of the family's 1533-position model. The record is from RNAcentral.
CCUACGGGAGGCAGCAGUGAGGAAUAUUGGUCAAUGGGCGUAAGCCUGAACCAGCCAAGUCGCGUGAGGGAUGAAGGUUCUAUGGAUCGUAAACCUCUUUUAUAAGGGAAUAAAGUGUGGGACGUGUCCUGUUUUGUAUGUACCUUAUGAAUAAGGAUCGGCUAACUCCGUGCCAGCAGCCGCGGUAAUACAGAGGAUCCGAGCGUUAUCCGGAUUUAUUGGGUUUAAAGGGUUCGUAGGCGGCCUGUUAAGUCAGCGGUGAAAGUCUGUGGCUCAACCAUAGAAUUGCCGUUGAAACUGGGAGGCUUGAGUAUGUUUGAGGCAGGCGGAACGCGUGGUGUAGCGGUGAAAUGCUUAGAUAUCACGCAGAACCCCGAUUGCGAAGGCAGCCUGCCAAGCCAUGACUGACGCUGAUGCACGAAAGCGUGGGGAUCAAACAGGAUUAGAUACCCCGGUAGUC